GUGUACAGAUGCUCAAAUCUUUCAUUCAUUGAUGGAAUGAUGGAGAGACGGAGCGACACGUCUUUCUCACGGAAGAGGAGUUUUACGUUCGGGGCAUAUGGAGGGAUUGACCGGUUCAUCGGUGACAGUGAGAGCAGCAUUCUGGACAUUUUAGACUCUCCGUCCAGUGAAACUAAACCACUCGUCCCCACCAACCUCACCAACCCCUCGAACCCUAACCAGAAGGU
Molecule: long non-coding RNA, 227 nt
Organism: Hemibagrus wyckioides
Lineage: Eukaryota; Metazoa; Chordata; Actinopteri; Siluriformes; Bagridae
Exons: 3
Source: RefSeq, a predicted model, not a curated record